RNAcentral lists this ribosomal RNA (228 nucleotides) under uncultured bacterium. RNAcentral describes it as "partial 16S ribosomal RNA". It matches the Rfam family "Bacterial small subunit ribosomal RNA", at positions 568 to 795 of the family's 1533-position model. The record is from RNAcentral.
UCCGCAGGCGGGCAAUUAAGUCAGGGGUGAAAUGGUGCGGCUCAACCGUAGCACUGCCCUUGAUACUGGUUGUCUUGAGUCAUAGUGAAGUGGCCGGAAUAUGUAGUGUAGCGGUGAAAUGCAUAGAUAUUACAUAGAACACCGAUUGCGAAGGCAGGUCACUAACUAUGUACUGACGCUGAUGGACGAAAGCGUGGGGAGCGAACAGGAUUAGAUACCCUGGUAGUC